RNAcentral lists this ribosomal RNA (233 nucleotides) under uncultured bacterium. RNAcentral describes it as "partial 16S ribosomal RNA". It matches the Rfam family "Bacterial small subunit ribosomal RNA", at positions 794 to 1026 of the family's 1533-position model. The record is from RNAcentral.
UCCACGCCGUAAACGAUGUCAACUAGUCGUUGGACCCCUUGAGGGUUUAGUGACGCAGCUAACGCAUUAAGUUGACCGCCUGGGGAGUACGGUCGCAAGACUAAAACUCAAAGGAAUUGACGGGGGCCCGCACAAGCGGUGGAGCAUGUGGUUUAAUUCGAUGCAACGCGAAGAACCUUACCAUCCCUUGACAUCCGGAGAAUUUGCAAGAGAUUGCUUAGUGCCUUCGGGAA